AUCUUGGUUUACUGAAACAGCCGAGAGCUGCAGUUGGCUGACCUGAGGGCAGGGAAUGGGACCAAGAUGUGCAGAGGUGGCCCAGAGGAAGGGAGGAUGGAGAAAAAGGGCUCCUGGCCUGCAAGUCCUAUUUGGAGGAUGGAACAGGGGCCAUACCUGUCAGGAUCUCCGAGAAUUGGACUUAGAACUCAUCUAGCCCAACUGUUUAAAGUUUUUUGUUAUUUUAGUUUUAAAAUCUACUUUGCUGAAGUACAAUUUACAUGUGAAAGAAGCAUUGAUUUUAAGUAUUCAGGUCUGGGAGUGUCCACAAAUGGAUCCAUCCAUGUGACUAUUCUCACAAUCAGAAUAUAGAACACUUCCAUGGUCCCCAAAUUCCAUUGUGCCCCUUUUACAGUGAGACCCCAUAUUAGUCAGGAUUCUCCAGGGAAACAGAACCAAUAGGAUACAUACAGAUAGACAUAAAAGGAAAUUCAUCAUAGGAACUGACUCAUGCAGUUACGGAGGCAAUAACUCUCAUAACCUUCCAUCUGUAAACUGGAGACCUAGGACAGCCAGUGGUGUAAUUUAACCCAAGUCCAAGGGCUUGAGAACAUGGGGAGCUGAUGGUAUAAAUCCAUCCGAUUCUGGAUGUCCAAGAGCCAGGAGCGCCAAAGGAGGAGGGCAGGAGAAGAAGGAUAUCCCAGCUCAGAGACCCCAAAAUAGGUACUGCUUCCCACUCCAUAUCACAGAUGAAGAAACCAAGGCUCAGAGCAUUGAAGUCAUUUGAAUCUGGUGACAGCCAGGACUCACAGCCACCUGGUACACGCAGAUAAGGACACAGAGGCUCGGAGAAGAAAAGCAAGCCACUGAAGGUUGCCCAGUGAGGAAACAGGUUCCGUCAUUGCCCAGGCACAUGACUAAGAAGUAGAGAAGGUCAAAUCCCAGCCUGGAUCUAGCUGACCCUAAAGUCCACGGUUUCACCCAAUACUCUGUGAUGAUGGAAGUGAAGCUCAGAAUGAAUGAAGAACCAAAUGAAGACCAGACAGCCAGAGUCAACCAGCCUGGACACUGCCUUGCAUGAUGUGCGUUGUGGCAUAGGGGAAAGAGCUUAAUGUUGAAGUCAAAUCUGGGUUCCAAUCCAUCUCUUAAACUUAGCAGCUGGAUGAGCUUGGGAAAGGUGGGUAAACUUACUGACCCUUGGUUUCCCAUUCGUAAAAAAUGAUAAUAUGAGUCUGAUAAUAUGGAGACCAAACACAGCAAACCACUUGAGGUGUGUUAAGGCAGUAGCCUGCACACAGUGGACACUCAAUAAUUCUUUAUUCAAGAGAGGGUGGCCCAGGAGAAAGAGCAUGGGGCUUGGGGUUAGACAGCUCUGGUUUCAAAUGCUCGUUUUUCCAGUGAUAAGCUGUGUAACCUUGGGCAGAUGACAUCUUCUCUGAGCUUCAGUUUUCUCAUCAAUAAAAGAAGGAUGACAGCAA
Acinonyx jubatus (cheetah) is the source of this 1457-nucleotide long non-coding RNA. RefSeq lists it as uncharacterized. The record is from RefSeq and is a predicted model, not a curated record. The transcript has 6 exons. NCBI's taxonomy places the organism in Eukaryota, Metazoa, Chordata, Mammalia, Carnivora, Felidae.